GACGAACGCUGGCGGCGUGCCUAAUACAUGCAAGUUGAGCGCUGAAGGUUGGUACUUGUACCAACUGGAUGAGCAGCGAACGGGUGAGUAACGCGUGGGGAAUCUGCCUUUGAGCGGGGGACAACAUUUGGAAACGAAUGCUAAUACCGCAUAAAAACUUUAAACACAAGUUUUAAGUUUGAAAGAUGCAAUUGCAUCACUCAAAGAUGAUCCCGCGUUGUAUUAGCUAGUUGGUGAGGUAAAGGCUCACCAAGGCGAUGAUACAUAGCCGACCUGAGAGGGGGAUCGGCCACAUUGGGACUGAGACACGGCCCAAACUCCUACGGGAGGCAGCAGUAGGGAAUCUUCGGCAAUGGACGAAAGUCUGACCGAGCAACGCCGCGUGAGUGAAGAAGGGUUUCGGAUCGGAAAACUCUGUUGGUAGAGAAGAACGUUGGUGAGAGUGGAAAGCUCAUCAAGUGACGGUAACUACCCAGAAAGGGACGGCUAACUACGUG
Molecule: ribosomal RNA, 497 nt
Filed under: uncultured bacterium
Lineage: Bacteria
Description: partial 16S ribosomal RNA
Rfam family: Bacterial small subunit ribosomal RNA
Source: RNAcentral